AAAUCCUUGGUGUGUCACCGAGGAUAACGUAAGGUAAAAUAAUGAUAUCACCUUACUAUUAGUGUCGUCCAAGCGCUCGUGCCAGAAGACUCGGUAAUACGAGAGACGCAAACGUUAUUCGUCUUGAUCAGGCGUAAAGGGUUUGUAGGCGGCUUUAAAUCUCCAAUUUUAAGUUUAUUAUUAUAAUGCUUUAUAAAUAAAGUGUAAUAAUAUUUAUUAAGUGAACAAUUAAAGCUAGAAUUUAAUAGAGGUUAAAACAAUACUUAAGGUAGGUGUACCAACCAUAGAUAAUAAGUAGAGUGUUAAGGGCGAAGGCUUUUAACCACUAAAGAUUAACGCUGAGAAACGAAAGUGAGGACAAAAAAAAGGAUUAGAUACCCUUGUAUCCCUCACUGUCAACGAUGAAUGGUAGUUACUAAGGAGAAAUAACUUAGAAACGAUGUUAACACGAAAACCAUUCCGCCUUGUGAGUACGACUGCAAAGUUAAAAACAAAAAAAUUAGUCGGUUUCG
RNAcentral lists this ribosomal RNA (512 nucleotides) under Pseudoinonotus dryadeus. RNAcentral's name for it is "SSU rRNA". It matches the Rfam family "Bacterial small subunit ribosomal RNA", at positions 428 to 921 of the family's 1533-position model. Lineage: Eukaryota; Fungi; Basidiomycota; Agaricomycetes; Hymenochaetales; Hymenochaetaceae. The record is from RNAcentral.